This is a small nucleolar RNA of Cynocephalus volans (Philippine flying lemur), 75 nucleotides long. RefSeq annotates it as small nucleolar RNA SNORD113/SNORD114 family. The transcript has a single exon. The record is from RefSeq and is a predicted model, not a curated record. NCBI's taxonomy places the organism in Eukaryota, Metazoa, Chordata, Mammalia, Dermoptera, Cynocephalidae.
UGGACCAAUGAUGAUCACUGGUGGCAUUUGAGUCGUGGACGAUGAAUACUGUGUGUCUGAAACUCUGAGGUCCAG